This 449-nucleotide ribosomal RNA is filed under the name uncultured bacterium. RNAcentral's name for it is "partial 16S ribosomal RNA". It matches the Rfam family "Bacterial small subunit ribosomal RNA", at positions 338 to 795 of the family's 1533-position model. The record is from RNAcentral.
CCUACGGGUGGCUGCAGUGGGGAAUAUUGGACAAUGGGCGCAAGCCUGAUCCAGCAAUACCGCGUGUGUGAAGAAGGCCUUAGGGUUGUAAAGCACUUUCAAUGGGGAGGAAAACCUACCGGUCAAUACCCGGUAGCUUGACAUUACCUGUAGAAGAAGCACCGGCUAACUCCGUGCCAGCAGCCGCGGUAAUACGGAGGGUGCUAGCGUUAAUCGGAGCGACUGGGGGUGGAGCGUUAAGUCGCAUGUGAAAGCCCCGGGCUUAACCUGGGAACUGCAUUUGAAACUGGCGGACUAGAGUUGAGUAGAGGGGAGUGGAAUUUCAGGUGUAGCGGUGAAAUGCGUAGAUAUCUGAAGGAACACCAGUGGCGAAGGCGACUCCCUGGACUCAAACUGACGCUGAGGUACGAAAGCGUGGGUAGCAAACAGGAUUAGAUACCCCGGUAGUC